AACGAACGCUGGCGGCAUGCCUAACACAUGCAAGUCGAACGAGACCUUCGGGUCUAGUGGCGCACGGGUGCGUAACGCGUGGGAACCUGCCCUUAGGUUCGGAAUAACUCCCCGAAAGGGGUGCUAAUACCGGAUAAUGUCUUCGGACCAAAGAUUUAUCGCCUUUGGAUGGGCCCGCGUUGGAUUAGCUAGUUGGUAGGGUAAAAGCCUACCAAGGCGACGAUCCAUAGCUGGUCUGAGAGGAUGAUCAGCCACACUGGGACUGAGACACGGCCCAGACGCCAAGGGGAGGGAAAAGGGGGGAAUAGGGGAAAAGGGGAGAAAGCGUGAACCAAAAAGGCCGGGGGAGAAAAGAAGGCUUGGGGGUUGAAAAGCUCUUUUACACGGGAUGAAAAGGAAAGUAAGGGGAAAAAAAGCCCCGGAAAACUCCGG
Molecule: ribosomal RNA, 432 nt
Filed under: uncultured bacterium
Lineage: Bacteria
Description: partial 16S ribosomal RNA
Rfam family: Bacterial small subunit ribosomal RNA
Source: RNAcentral